GACGAACGCUGGCGGCGUGCUUAACACAUGCAAGUGGUGCGACGAACCAGGGCUUGCCCUGGGGCAAAGCCGCGAACGGGUGAGUAACACGUGGGUAAUCUGCCCCGAUGACCGGGACAACCCGAGGAAACUCGGGCUAAUACCGGAUGAUGAGCCUUGGCGUAAGCCUUGUCUCUAAAGGAAGCUUCGGCCUCCGCAUUGGGAGGAGCCCGCGGCCCAUUAGCUUGUUGGUGGGGUAACGGCCUACCAAGGCGACGAUGGGUAGCUGGUCUGAGAGGACGAUCAGCCACACUGGGACUGAGACACGGCCCAGACUCCUACGGGAGGCAGCAGUGGGGAAUCUUGCGCAAUGCGCGAAAGCGUGACGCAGCAACGCCGCGUGGGGAAGACGGCCU
Molecule: ribosomal RNA, 395 nt
Filed under: uncultured bacterium
Lineage: Bacteria
Description: bacterial SSU rRNA
Rfam family: Bacterial small subunit ribosomal RNA
Source: RNAcentral